AGAAUUAUCGAGUCAUAACGCAACUGACCGAUUAGCGCAGGCUCAUAAGAGCCCUUUCCCCUGUGCCCAAAGCCCAACGCUUUGGGCUUUUUUUU
RNAcentral lists this small RNA (95 nucleotides) under Vibrio nereis. The record is from RNAcentral. Lineage: Bacteria; Pseudomonadati; Pseudomonadota; Gammaproteobacteria; Vibrionales; Vibrionaceae.